This 905-nucleotide ribosomal RNA is filed under the name uncultured bacterium. Its description in RNAcentral is "bacterial SSU rRNA". It matches the Rfam family "Bacterial small subunit ribosomal RNA", at positions 8 to 905 of the family's 1533-position model. The record is from RNAcentral.
AGAGUUUGAUCAUGGCUCAGAUUGAACGCUGGCGGAAUGCUUUACACAUGCAAGUCGAACGGCAGCACGGGUGCUUGCACCUGGUGGCGAGUGGCGAACGGGUGAGUAAUGCGUCGGAACGUACCGAGUAAUGGGGGAUAACGCGGCGAAAGUCGCGCUAAUACCGCAUACGCCCUGAGGGGGAAAGUGGGGGAUCGCAAGACCUCACGUUAUUCGAGCGGCCGACGUCUGAUUAGCUAGUUGGUGGGGUAAAGGCCUACCAAGGCGACGAUCAGUAGCGGGUCUGAGAGGAUGAUCCGUCACACUGGGACUGAGACACGGCCCAGACUCCUACGGGAGGCAGCAGUGGGGAAUUUUGGACAAUGGGGGCAACCCUGAUCCAGCCAUUCCGCGUGAGUGAAGAAGGCCUUCGGGUUGUAAAGCUCUUUCAGCUGGAACGAGACGGUACGCUCUAACAUAGCGUGCUAAUGACGGUACCGGCAGAAGAAGCACCGGCUAACUACGUGCCAGCAGCCGCGGUAAUACGUAGGGUGCGAGCGUUAAUCGGAAUUACUGGGCGUAAAGCGUGCGCAGGCGGAUUGUUAAGCAAGACGUGAAAGCCCCGGGCUUAACCUGGGAAUGGCGUUUUGAACUGGCAGUCUAGAGUGCGUCAGAGGGGGGUGGAAUUCCACGUGUAGCAGUGAAAUGCGUAGAGAUGUGGAGGAACACCAAUGGCGAAGGCAGCCCCCUGGGAUGACACUGACGCUCAUGUACGAAAGCGUGGGUAGUAAACAGGAUUAGAUACCCUGGUAGUCCACGCCCUAAACGAUGUCAACUGGUUGUUGGGGGAGUGAAAUCCCUUAGUAACGAAGCUAACGCGUGAAGUUGACCGCCUGGGGAGUACGGUCGCAAGAUUAAAACUCAAA